This 24-nucleotide small nuclear RNA is filed under the name Arabidopsis thaliana (thale cress). RNAcentral describes it as "snRNA_07850". Lineage: Eukaryota; Viridiplantae; Streptophyta; Magnoliopsida; Brassicales; Brassicaceae. The record is from RNAcentral.
GGAGAAUGCAUUGGACCCAACCAA